GUGGGGAAUAUUCCGCAAUGGACGAAAGUCUGACGGAGCAACGCCGCGUGAGUGAUGAAGGUUUUCGGACUGUAAAGCUCUGUUGUUUGGGACGAAAGUGCCUGUUGCGAACAGUUACGGGUAUUGACGGUACUAAACGAGGAAGCCACGGCUAACUACGUGCCAGCAGCCGCGGUAAUACGUAGGUGGCAAGCGUUGUCCGGAAUUAUUGGGCGUAAAGAGCAUGUAGGAGGGAAUCUAAGUCUGUUGUUAAAAUGCGGGGCUCAACCCCGUAUUGCGAUGGAAACUGGGUUUCUUGAGUGCAGGAGAGGAAAGGGGAAUUCCCAGUGUAGCGGUGAAAUGCGUAGAUAUUGGGAGGAACACCAGUGGCGAAGGCGCCUUUCUGGACUGUGUCUGACGCUGAGAUGCGAAAGCCAGGGUAGCGAACGGGAUUAGAAACCCCGGUAGUCC
Molecule: ribosomal RNA, 450 nt
Filed under: uncultured bacterium
Lineage: Bacteria
Description: partial 16S ribosomal RNA
Rfam family: Bacterial small subunit ribosomal RNA
Source: RNAcentral